UUUUCUUUGUGAUAAAUGAAAACUCUGAAGGACUUCCGAAAAAUCGAAAAACCCACGCGGCAGCCAUCUUCGAAGACAAAAUUGCAGCAGGUGGGCAACCGGGGAAUUCCAACGCUUAAAAGCUUCCGGUCUUCCUGCAGAACGGCAUAUACAGUGUUGUGACAGAUACAAUCGGAUCAAUACUUUCACACCUGAACCAGAAUCUACAAGCUCCUGAUUUGUAUACCUGAGAGCUACCUGUAUCCCCGAUUAUAACUACCUGCUGGGAAAUUGAUUACAACAACUCUCCUGUACUGCUAUCCAGAGCUGCCUAAACAGCCGCUAAAACAAGCCUAAACAGAUACAGAACAUCCUCAGCAGACAACAUGGAUGAUGAAGGUAACAUGAAGCGUCCUCAUGAGGAUGACUACCAGGAGGAUUAUGAUAACAAAAGGAGGCGUGGAGGGGAUGGUGGACAGAAGAUCGAACUCCGCUUCCUAUUGGCCAGCAAGAAUGCCGGAGCUAUCAUUGGGAAAGCUGGAAGUAACAUCAAACGACUGAGACAAGAUUACAAAGCCAGUGUCACAGUUCCCGAUAGUACCAGCCCCGAACGUGUGCUGACGAUCGGGGCCGACAUUGGCACUGCCCUCGAUUGUGCCCUCGAUAUCAUCCCGAAGCUAGAAGAUGUAAGUGAUGAGUACAAGAACUACAAGGAUGAGAACUUUGACUGCGAGAUGAGACUACUGGUACACCAGAGCCAGGCGGGCUGUAUCAUUGGACGUGCUGGAUUCAAGAUCAAGGAACUCCGAGAGAAAACGGGAGCUCAGAUCAAAGUUUACUCUCAGUGCUGUCCACAAUCGACAGAGCGUGUCGUGGCCAUAGGAGGCAAACCCAAGGUGGUCAUCGAUUGUGUCGACACCAUCCAUGAACUCCUCAAGACAGCUCCACCCAAGGGACCCAACCAGCCUUAUGACCCCAUGUACUGGGACGAGUUCCUGGUGGCCGAGUAUGGAGGCUACACAUCUGCCGAGGGUGGACGAGGCAAGGGAGGACCCAGAGGAGCACCACAAGCUUCCCGAGGCAUGGGAAUGGGCAUGGGCAUGAGGGGUGGCCGGCCUGGCAUGGGGAUGGGAAUGGGAGAUAUGGGUAUGGGAGGUCGUGGCGGUCGCGGUGGUGGCAUGAUGGGUGGCCGCGGCGGUAGAGGAGGCAUGGGUGGCAUGCGUGGCAACAUGGGAGGAAUGAGAGGCGGCGGCAUGGGAGGACCUAACAGAGGUGGCCGAGGAGGGUUCGGAGGCGGAAUGGGAAGUGGUGGAAUGGGAGGCAGCAUGAGUGGUGGCAAUAUGGGUGGCAACCAGAGCAACAUGGGCGGUGGCAUGGGAGGUAACAAGCAGGGAACGGACUACUCAACCAAUCAGAGAUUCGGAGGAGAUGGCGGAUAUGGAGAUAACUAUGGAGGUGACAAUAGUUACGACGAAGGUUACGACAACUCUGGCGGUGGCUACGGCGGCGGUAAUUCCAGCGGAAGCCAGGGAGGUGGAAACAUGGGACAGAACUUCACCCAGGAUAACACGGGAGGUAUGGGCCAGAUGUUUGGUGACAAUUGUAACAGCAGUCCGUCCUCGACACAAGUUACGAUCCCAAAAGAUGUAAGUUACGAUCCCAAAAGAUGUAAGUUACGAUCCCAAAAGAUUUGGCGGGAGCUAUCAUUGGGAAGGGAGGUUCACGUAUCCAAGAGAUCCGGCGCCAGUCUAACGCUCAGGUGGUGAUUGACGAGGCACUUCCGGGCUCCAGCGACCGCAUCAUCACAAUCACAGGCAGCGAAGAUCAGAUACAGAAUGCACAGUACCUUCUACAGAUGAGAGUGAAGGGCUUGGAGUCAUCAUUUCAUUGAGCGUAUAAGAUAACACAUGUAAAACGGUAUUCGGGAGGACAGUUUUAAAGGAAGAGGAGGAGGAGGAACAAAGUUUUCAUUGUGGAAUCAUCAUAGACAUUGUCAUGUGGUCAUUGUAGACAGAAGGUUAUCUUCAUCGUGUCAACUUCAUUUUCUUUUUUACAGUCGACAUCAUAAAGACUGCCUUGUUUUAUCGUUAAAAGAGGGGAGUUCUAUGUCUGUUUCGACUCCCAAGUUCAGUUGAAAAUUUGUCAUCGGUAAUCUUUUUUAUUCUAUCGAACAAAAACAUGUUCAGUUUGUAAAAUUAUCUUGUGAAGACAUGUUACGUUUGCGAGUUGAAUGUGUUUGCAUUGAUUAGAAAAGUAGAUGCUUUUAGAGGAAUUAAAAUCAAGUUUGAUAAUUUCAACAGAAAGUAAUAGAAAAUGUUUACACAAUAACGGAUGAAUUAUGUGCUAGGUGGUAAUCAGAAGAAAGUGUUCUCAUUUCCUUUGUACAGUCAUCGUGGUGGGAAACAUUUUCAUCGGGGUGUCAUGUUCAUAUUCUGUAACCAGAAAUCAUGUUGGGGAGGGAUAAUGCUGGGAGUUACAUAUUAAGUAGAGAUUUUCAUUGUUUUUCUGGAUUUCAUACAUGUACAUUUUUAUGAUAUGAAUGUAUUUUUAUUUUCACUUGUUUGUUAGGUCAUCUAGAUGAAGUUGUCUUCUCAUAUAUAUACUGAUGAUACCAUUAGAAAAUCAGACAACUGAUUUUUUGUCUCAUUACUUAUUGAAAGAUAUUUUAUACACUAAUCAAAAAUGAAGAAAAAAGAAAAUAUUGAAGAAAUUUACUUCUGGUACAAUAAUAUACAUGUAUUAUUGCUAAUCCCAUACUAUCUCAUACACUGUCUUAAUUUAAUUAGCUAAUCUACUCUAACAGCGUGACAUUCAAUGGUAUUUUAAAGUACAUAAUGUGUCAGUUCCCCGAAAUACCUAGUGAUUUCUAUGGGAAGACUGUGAUUUUUAUAGUAACAUUUAACAUGGCUGUUUGAGAUUUAGAUUGAGUAGAAUUUUGGAGAAAUAUGAAUAAAAUAUUGGUAUCUUA
Molecule: RNA transcript, 2947 nt
Organism: Pecten maximus
Lineage: Eukaryota; Metazoa; Mollusca; Bivalvia; Pectinida; Pectinidae
Gene name: heterogeneous nuclear ribonucleoprotein K-like
Exons: 17
Source: RefSeq, a predicted model, not a curated record